AUGCUGAAGUGGAGCAGGCUGCUGACAAAUUUUCAAAAAAUCCAAGCACUCUAUCUGGGCCAGACACUUCAUAUAGAUGCUUUAUCUGAGGUGGACAACACUACACAGUCACUCCUUUCAUUUACUGGCAAUAAGAGCAUUCAUGGCUUACAUUAUGUCUUGUUGAACUACAAGUUCUUUCUGAAUUCAUUAUCUGCCACAUACGUCCCAGUGUUAUAUUUACCGGUGCCAUUUCAAAAUGGUUGCCUCCAUAUUCCAGAGGCAUACAUUGAGAAGGAGAACAGCAAGACGUUGAACAGAAGCAGUGCGACCAUAUGCAGCCCAAAAUGGGUAAUAUGGAUAUGGAUUAUCAGGUUUUUCAUGAUGCAUUCUUCAAAUAUCAAACAAAACCCAAGUUGA
RNAcentral lists this ribosomal RNA (399 nucleotides) under Triticum aestivum (bread wheat). Its description in RNAcentral is "partial small subunit ribosomal RNA". Lineage: Eukaryota; Viridiplantae; Streptophyta; Magnoliopsida; Poales; Poaceae. The record is from RNAcentral.